This 252-nucleotide ribosomal RNA is filed under the name uncultured bacterium. RNAcentral describes it as "partial 16S ribosomal RNA". It matches the Rfam family "Bacterial small subunit ribosomal RNA", at positions 524 to 776 of the family's 1533-position model. The record is from RNAcentral.
UACGAAGGGGGCAAGCGUUACUCGGAAUUAUUGGGCGUAAAGAGUGCGUAGGCCGCUAUAAAAGUUAUAAGUAAAAUUUUUAAGCUCAACUUAAAAAAGCUUCUAAUACUUUAUAGCUAGAGUAGUAGGAGAGAUAGAAGAAUUUUUAGUGUAGGGGUGAAAUCCGUAGAUAUUAAAAAGAACACCGAUAGCGUAAGCAUCUGUCUAUCUACUAACUGACGCUGUUGCACGAAAGCGUGGGGAGCAAACAGG